UUCUUAAGGGACUUUUUUUGGUUAAUUUUCUCAAUGAUUUUUUUGAUUUCUUGAACUGCAUUCUAUUUUUUUUUUCUUUUGAGACAGGAUCUCACUCUAUCACCUAGGCUGGAGUACAUGGUGCCAUUAUAGCUCACUGCAACCUCCUGGGCUCAAGCAAAGCUCCCACCUCAACCUCUCCAGUAGCUGGGACUACAGUGGACUGAUGCAGAACUGAAACGGCCAACACAAGAAUCUUCAAGGACAAUUGCCUGGGAAUCCUGAGGUCUGGACAGCAACACCCAAAUCUCUUUUUCAUUAAAUCAUAAAAGAAAAUAGUGUAUGGAGAGAUUAAGGCCAGGCCUCUAGAGGAGGGUAAUAUGAGCAUAUAUUUGUAUAAUUAAG
Molecule: long non-coding RNA, 384 nt
Filed under: Callithrix jacchus (white-tufted-ear marmoset)
Lineage: Eukaryota; Metazoa; Chordata; Mammalia; Primates; Cebidae
Description: lncRNA (ENSCJAG00000074779.1)
Source: RNAcentral